Molecule: non-coding RNA, 255 nt
Organism: Pocillopora verrucosa
Lineage: Eukaryota; Metazoa; Cnidaria; Anthozoa; Scleractinia; Pocilloporidae
Source: RefSeq, a predicted model, not a curated record
UCACUCAAGUACUUCAGUGGUCAAGAGUCAAAAGGAGAGGAGGAAAACAGGGAUUCAACGAGGAUUGGAUAAAUGGAAUGGGAAACAAACAGAAAGAUAAAGAAGAACUCGGCGAAAUCUUGCUUGAAUUUUAUUACUGAAGGAAGAAACCUCUGAAAGUCUCUGUGGGGUUAGUGGUGCAAGUCAAGAGUCGUUUUAAAACCUGUCAAAGUAUAGCAGUAGUAGUGCGAGAAAAAAAGACGUUCAGAAAUCUGU